GUGCUCACUUCAGCAGCACAUAUACUAAAAUUGGAACGAUACAGAGGAGAUUAGCAUGGCCCCUGCGCAAGGAUGACACAUAAAUGUGUGAGGCAUUCCAUAUUUUU
This 107-nucleotide small nuclear RNA is filed under the name Physeter macrocephalus (sperm whale). The record is from RNAcentral. Lineage: Eukaryota; Metazoa; Chordata; Mammalia; Artiodactyla; Physeteridae.